UUGAUUGUCGAAAAGCGAAUC
RNAcentral lists this unclassified non-coding RNA (21 nucleotides) under Dictyostelium discoideum. Lineage: Eukaryota; Evosea; Eumycetozoa; Dictyosteliales; Dictyosteliaceae. The record is from RNAcentral.